RNAcentral lists this unclassified non-coding RNA (75 nucleotides) under uncultured Citrobacter sp. RNAcentral's name for it is "C0343". The record is from RNAcentral. Lineage: Bacteria; Pseudomonadati; Pseudomonadota; Gammaproteobacteria; Enterobacterales; Enterobacteriaceae.
CGGUUCCCAUUCCCGAUCCCAUUCCUCGUCCGCAGCCAAUGCCGGAUCCGCCGCCGGAUGAAGAACCUAUUAAAU